UCGAGAAUAUUCGACAAUGGGCGAAAGCCUGAUCGAGCGACGCCGCGUGCAGGAUGAAGUGCUUCGGUAUGUAAACUGCUUUUGUAGACUAGAAAGUUUAUUGAUCGGUCUAAGAAUAAGAGGUUGCUAAACUCGUGCCAGCAGCAGCGGUAAUACGAGUGCCUCGAGCGUUAUCCGGAAUCAUUGGGCGUAAAGGGUGUGCAGGCGGUCUGAUUAGUCUUUUGUUAAAUUCUUCGGCUUAACCGGGGACAUGCAGGGGAAACGGUCAGACUAGAGGAUGCGAGAGGUUAACGGAACUCAUAGUGUAGCGGUGAAAUGCGUUGAUAUUAUGGGGAACACCAAAUGCGAAGGCAGUUAACUGGAGCACUCCUGACGCUGAAACACGAAAGCGUGGGUAGCGAAUGGG
Molecule: ribosomal RNA, 406 nt
Filed under: uncultured bacterium
Lineage: Bacteria
Description: bacterial SSU rRNA
Rfam family: Bacterial small subunit ribosomal RNA
Source: RNAcentral